RNAcentral lists this ribosomal RNA (531 nucleotides) under Termitomyces sp. Its description in RNAcentral is "partial 28S large subunit ribosomal RNA". It matches the Rfam family "Eukaryotic large subunit ribosomal RNA", at positions 59 to 589 of the family's 3401-position model. The record is from RNAcentral. Lineage: Eukaryota; Fungi; Basidiomycota; Agaricomycetes; Agaricales; Lyophyllaceae.
AAGAAACUAACAAGGAUUCCCCUNGUAACUGCGAGUGANGCGGGAAAAGCUCAAAUUUAAAAUCUGGUAGUCUUUGGCUGCCCGAGUUGUAAUCUAGAGAAGCAUUAUCCGCGCUGGACCGUGUACAAGUGUCCYGGAAUGGACCAUCAUAGAGGGUGAGAAUCCCGUCUUUGACACGGACUACCAGGGCUUUGUGAUGUGCUCUCAAAGAGUCYAGUUGUUUGGGAAUGCAGCUYUAAAUGGGUGGUAAAUUCCAUCUAAAGCUAAAUNUNGGCGAGAGACCRANANCGAACAANUACCNUGNGGGAAAGAUGANAAGAANUUUGGAAAGAGAGUUAAACAGUACGUGAAAUUGCUGAAAGGGAAACGCUUGAAGUCAGUCGCGUUGGCUGGGNAUCAACCUUGCUUCUUGCUUGGCUUACUUCCCAGUUGACGGGUCAGCAUCAGUUUUGACCGGUGGAUAAAGGUYAGGGGAAUGUGGCACCUYCGGGUGUGUUAUAGCCYCUGGUCAUAUACAUUGGUUGGGACUGA